GGAAGAGAAUGAGCUCUGUGCUCAGGAAACCUUGACUCCAGCUGCAGCUUGCCACAUCCUAGUGGAUGCCGGGAAGUCUCUUAGCACAGCUAAGCCACUGCUGCAGUUUUCACAUUCCUCAGAAGGAAGCAUAAUACCUAUUUAUGAAUUAAAUUAAAUAAUGUAUAAAGUGCCUAGCACAUGGCAGACGUCUUGUGAAUAUAGAUUAACUUUUCUUUUCUCAUUCAAGCAUUCUCUGAACUACACACACUUAUAUAACAUUCCACUGAGGGGAGUGAGUUAAGGGGAACGUUUAAGCAAACAAAUAAAAACCCUCUGACCGAGAAAGUCCUCACUUUCAAAGCAAUAGGCAGCAUGGACUCAUUAGUACAACCUUCAAAGACCUGAGGAAGGGUGAGAGUGGGGGGUUCCUAUCAAAGCCAAACACAGAACCCAAGAUGGAUAGAAACACACACACACGUUUUACACACACAUACUAAACUAUCUGCACAUACGUGUAACAAAGCAAGAGUCCAGUUACCACCCAUCCAACUCUCUUCUGACUCAUAAGCAGCGUUAGUGACUUCCUCUGCGCUCCUGAAAUGAGCUCUCUCUCAGGCAACCCAGCGCCCUGCAGCCUGAGAACCUGGCUCUGCUUCAGAAGCUGAGUCACUGCUGCUUUUCUUUUAAAGGCUGUUGCUGCCGACGGAUCUCUUCAUCCAACUUCAGAAGAGAAAGAUUCGCGAAGUCAGAGUGUCUCCACUGAAGCAGGAUCUUGUUUUCCCUGGUGCAGUGAGGUGAAUCUGUAUGAACCUGUGCUGAUCCAGAAAGAUUUCCAAAAUAUUAAAUGCAAAAGUAAAAUUCAGAACUGUUCAGUAUAAUAGUGGCUCUACAAUAAACACCUUGACUUCAGCAAUGAUGAGACAGGCCCAGGAGAUCUGGACCAGGCUUCUGGAAGAGCGACUGAUUCCACAGAGUGAGGAAAGUGGGGAAGCUUUCCAGUUCUGUGAGGAAUCCGCAUGCAAUGACACAGCAUACUUCUUGACAUCCUGCAGAAUACCUGUUCUCUUCACAUAUCAAAACUGGGAAUUCAUGGAAAAAUCAUCUGGAACCAAGCCUCGAGAUUUUGCUCUUGCCCUCUGCUGUUUUUCAUACCUUUAUAUUAAAGUAAAAUUCUUACACACGAUGGCACCAAGAUAGUGCAAAUUUUGGAAGAAAACAACUGAUAAUCUGUUCCUAUUAUUUUCUCAAUGAACAGGUGAAAAGUUUUUACCUUGGGGUGAUAGGCAACGUUUUCUGGUGAAUUGGGUGAUAAGUGGAUCCCUGCAGCCUCGGCAUCUUCAUAGCCCAGGCUCCCCCAGUUAGAGCCAGGAAAACAGGGGCCAAAUAACCAGGAGAUUCCUGGAAAUCAUUGGACCUCUCCUGGAAAGCCCACCACUUCCUAGUUAAACUGUUAUGGAUAGCUGCCACCAGGUGGCGCCACUCUGCGGUUGGGACCUGGAGAGAUUUGCUGCAGAUGUCUUGCCAGCUGCAUUCAUAGGUCCAAAAGGAGGUAAAUCACAAACCUUAACUAAUGCCACCCUGCAUUUAAUCCUGACUCUUUAAAAACCCCAGAAAGCCGGACAUGACUGAGCACACACACAUCUAGUUAUAACAAGAUUUUAUUAUCAUAACUAAAAGAAGUCUCUUGCAGUCCAGAUGAUCUUUUAAUAAUGGUAACUUUUGUUAAAACCAGAUAAGAAUGUAUAUUAAUUCAUUAAAGAAUUCAAGCAGUCUACUUCAUUUGACUACAGUUAUAAGGAAUGGAGCAGAGAGACCAAAAAACCCACAGCAUCCAAAAUCUUUUUUGUUUCCAAAGGAAGAAAAAAGCUAAUUUUAGACAAUCUCAUGUUUCCUGAUUACAGGGACACUUCUCACGAAGCCAGAUAAUUUCCUACAAUUCAAAUUGUGAAUCCAAGUGUCCUUGCCAAGGUUUUCAUAUUGUCAGUGAGCAAUAGGCAUCUGUGGCGAAGGCAUCAUGUCUUUCGAGAGUUCAGAGCAACAACCAUGGCCCUGUUUCCACUCUGACACAUUUGGACACGAGCAAGGCUCAGUAUCAGAACCUGCUAAUAUCUGGAGUACUAGUUUCAGUCAGUAGAUGGGCUGAUACUUAUUACAUGGCUUCAUCUUCCACUCCUUCAAAAUGAAUCUCAUUAAUGUGAUAAAGUUCAAACUAUGAUGUAAAUAUGGACAAAAAAUGUUGAAAGGUCUUUUCACAAACUGCUUAACUUCCCCUAGAAGUUUCUUCUCCUAAAAACUCUGGGUUUAGGGGAACAGGAAAAUUGGGUGAAGGUGGUCAAGAUAUAAACUUAUUCAUGUAUAAGAUAAAUAAGUUUGGGGGAUGUGGUGUACAAUGGGGUGACUAUAGUUAACAAUACUGUAUUGUGUUUGAAAGUUACUAAGAGAGUUGAUCUUAAAGUUCUUAUCAUAGGGAGAAAAGUUUAUAACUAUAUGAAGCCAUGUGUGUUAACUAAGUUUAUGGUGGUAAUCAUUUCACAGUGUACACAAAAAUCAUACUUUGUAUACCAUAAACUUAUACAGUAUUGCAUGUCAACAAUAUCUCAAUAAAACUGGAAAAAAAAAUCAAGAGUCCACUAUAUUCCACUGAACGGCCCUCUGCGUGAAGCUAUGUAUUCUCAGACUGUGUAUAUUGCUUGGAUUUUCAUUUUUCC
Long non-coding RNA from Capra hircus (goat), 2690 nucleotides. NCBI's taxonomy places the organism in Eukaryota, Metazoa, Chordata, Mammalia, Artiodactyla, Bovidae. The record is from Ensembl.